CUACGGGCCGCUGCAGUGAGGAAUAUUGCACAAUGGGGGGAACCCUGAUGCAGCAACGCCGCGUGGAGGAUGACGCAUUUCGGUGUGUAAACUCCUUUUAUAUGUCAAGAAAAUGACGGUAGCAUAUGAAUAAGCACCGGCUAGCUCCGUGCCAGCAGCCGCGGUAAUACGGAGGGUGCAAGCGUUACUCGGAAUCACUGGGCGUAAAGGACGCGUAGGCGGGCUUGUAAGUCAGGUGUGAAAUCCUACAGCUUAACUGUAGAACUGCACUUGAAACUACGAGCCUAGAGUAUGGGAGGGGGAGAUGGAGUUAGUGGUGUAGGGGUAAAAUCCGUAGAUAUCACUAGGAAUACCUAAAGCGAAGGCGAUCUCCUGGAACAUUACUGACGCUAAGGCGUGAAAGCGUGGGGAGCAAACAGGAUUAGAUACCCCGGUAGUC
This 439-nucleotide ribosomal RNA is filed under the name uncultured bacterium. RNAcentral's name for it is "partial 16S ribosomal RNA". It matches the Rfam family "Bacterial small subunit ribosomal RNA", at positions 339 to 795 of the family's 1533-position model. The record is from RNAcentral.